This 392-nucleotide ribosomal RNA is filed under the name uncultured Sneathia sp. RNAcentral describes it as "bacterial SSU rRNA". It matches the Rfam family "Bacterial small subunit ribosomal RNA", at positions 116 to 524 of the family's 1533-position model. The record is from RNAcentral. Lineage: Bacteria; Fusobacteriati; Fusobacteriota; Fusobacteriia; Fusobacteriales; Leptotrichiaceae.
CGUAAAGAACUUGCCCUUUAGACUGGGAUAACAGAGGGAAACUUCUGAUAAUACUGGAAUAAGUUAGUAUAUCGCAUGAUAUGCAAAUGAAAGCUACGGCACUAAAGGAGAGCUUUGCGUCCUAUUAGCUAGUUGGUAAGGUAAGAGCUUACCAAGGCGAUGAUAGGUAGCCGGCCUGAGAGGGUGGACGGCCACAAGGGGACUGAGAUACGGCCCUUACUCCUACGGGAGGCAGCAGUGGGGAAUAUUGGACAAUGGAGGAAACUCUGAUCCAGCAAUUCUGUGUGUGUGAAGAAGGUUUUAGGACUGUAAAACACUUUUAGUAGGGAAGAAAAAAUGACGGUACCUACAGAAGAAGCAACGGCUAAAUACGUGCCAGCAGCCGCGGUAAU